Molecule: ribosomal RNA, 500 nt
Filed under: uncultured bacterium
Lineage: Bacteria
Description: partial 16S ribosomal RNA
Rfam family: Bacterial small subunit ribosomal RNA
Source: RNAcentral
AUUGAACGCUGGCGGAAUGCUUUACACAUGCAAGUCGAACGGCAGCACGGACUUCGGUCUGGUGGCGAGUGGCGAACGGGUGAGUAAUGUAGCGGAACGUGCCCAGUCGUGGGGGAUAACGUAGUGAAAAUUACGCUAAUACCGCAUACGAUCUAUGGAUGAAAGCGGGGGAUCGCAAGACCUCGCGCGAUUGGAGCGGCCGAUAUCAGAUUAGGUAGUUGGUGGGGUAAAGGCCCACCAAGCCAACGAUCUGUAGCGGGUCUGAGAGGACGACCAGCCCCACUGGAACUGAGACACGGUCCAGACUCCUACGGGAGGCAGCAGUGGGGAAUUUUGGACAAUGGGCGAAAGCCUAAUCCAGCCAUUCCGCGUGCAGGAUGAAGGCCCUCGGGUUGUAAACUGCUUUUGUACAGAACGAAAAGGUUUCUACUAAUACUAGGAGCUCAUGACGGUACUGUAAGAAUAAGCACCGGCUAACUACGUGCCAGCAGCCGCCGUAA